This is a long non-coding RNA of Solanum stenotomum, 489 nucleotides long. RefSeq lists it as uncharacterized. The transcript has 3 exons. NCBI's taxonomy places the organism in Eukaryota, Viridiplantae, Streptophyta, Magnoliopsida, Solanales, Solanaceae. The record is from RefSeq and is a predicted model, not a curated record.
CUCCAAAAGUUGGGUUGUGCAACUCAGCUAACGAUCGGAUCUUGGUUCACAGAGGUCCCAUACAUGUUGCAGUUCAAUGGAUUGCUGGUUCAAGAGUUGAUAUGCAAAUAUCUAACACUAGAAUUGUGUAUAGAAAACUUUGAUUUGAAUGGAGUAGCUGGACUUUUGGGAGCCUUGCCUCAUGUGGAGACUUUAAACAUAUACCUGACAGAAAAUCUUCUUGAUAAUUACUUUUGCGACUUUGAGGAAAACAAUACCGAUCUGCAGAGUUGGAUUUCAAGCAUUGUGUUUCCCAAACUCAAGAAUAUUGCGAUUGUCAACUACAUCCUGGUGUGUUUAAACAGGCAAUAAAGAAAAUGGGGCUUUCGCAGACUUGUUAAACUUUCACAACUUCUGUUAAAGAAUGCAACGAUUUUGAAGAAGUUUCUUAUCAUAUCAAAUAGUAGAAUGUGCAAGAAAUGUUUAACAAACUGUUGGUUCAAUUUUUUC